CUGUCUCCCCCAGAUUCGUGUUCGACAAACAUGGAGCACCACGUCAAAAUGAAGAAUACAGGAGGCAGUUCCAACAACCUCGACCCAAGACUUUCCAUCCGCCAUCAGAUAUCCCAUAGAAGAAGUGGGUGGAAUCGGUGAACCAGAAGGGGGCAAGAGGCAAAAGUGGAGAGUGCUGGAUUUAGAAAAAGAAACAAUGACGCUAGAAAAUAAGGUCGAGACAAGGGGUUAUGUAG
Molecule: long non-coding RNA, 236 nt
Filed under: Lathyrus oleraceus (garden pea)
Lineage: Eukaryota; Viridiplantae; Streptophyta; Magnoliopsida; Fabales; Fabaceae
Description: Pisum sativum (pea) long non-coding RNA (PSAT_LNC034262)
Source: RNAcentral